UAGAGGAAUCUGUUCUGUAAUUGAUAAUCCACGUUGGACCUCACUUAAUUUUGUUUUCAAUUUGUAUAUCGCCGUCAUCAGAAUAUAUUAUAAGAUUAAUAAUUUUCUUAAUAUUUCAUUAAAUAAUAUGUCAGGUCAAGGUGCAGUUUAUGGUUAAGUAGAAAUGGAUUACAAUAAAUAUAUUUAUACGGAUAAUUUUUUGAAAUAAAAAUUUGAAGGUGGAUUUAAUAGUAAUAUAAAAUAGAUUAUUUAUAUGAUUAUAGCUCUAAAACAUGCACACAUCGCCCGUCGCUCUCAUUUUUAAAAUGAGAUAAGUCGUAACAUAGUAGAUGUACUGGAAAGUGUAUCUAGAAUGA
This 356-nucleotide ribosomal RNA is filed under the name Anopheles gambiae (African malaria mosquito). RNAcentral's name for it is "12S ribosomal RNA". It matches the Rfam family "Microsporidia small subunit ribosomal RNA", at positions 808 to 1311 of the family's 1311-position model. Lineage: Eukaryota; Metazoa; Arthropoda; Insecta; Diptera; Culicidae. The record is from RNAcentral.